GGCCCCCGUUAGCUCAGUUGGUUAGAGCGUCGUGCUAAUAACGCGAAGGUCGCGGGUUCGAUCCCCUCACGGGCCA
Molecule: transfer RNA, 76 nt
Filed under: Trichonephila inaurata madagascariensis
Lineage: Eukaryota; Metazoa; Arthropoda; Arachnida; Araneae; Nephilidae
Description: tRNA-Ile
Rfam family: tRNA
About the family: Transfer RNA (tRNA) molecules are approximately 80 nucleotides in length. Their secondary structure includes four short double-helical elements and three loops (D, anti-codon, and T loops).
Source: RNAcentral